RNAcentral lists this long non-coding RNA (931 nucleotides) under Ananas comosus (pineapple). Its description in RNAcentral is "long non-coding RNA (ACOM_LNC013124)". The record is from RNAcentral. Lineage: Eukaryota; Viridiplantae; Streptophyta; Magnoliopsida; Poales; Bromeliaceae.
ACGAAGCACUUGGUGCUACCAAGUUUUCCACCGUUAGAUCUACCUUUUUGAUCAUUUUUACCCAUUAGAUCAUACUAUUCAUCCAACCACCCACUCAACCCUAGGGGGCCCAUAUCAUCCUAACCACACAUCUCUUAAUCCAAUGGCCAAAAACUUGGUAGCACCAAUGACUUGGUGCUAUUAAUAGCAUAGUAGGCUAGUUAUAUAUAUAUAUAUAUAUAUAUAUAUAGAAUUAGGUUACUAUACUAUCUAUAGUACCGGAGCUCCGAUACUAUAGUCUUGUUUUCGAUCUUAGGAUGUUCAAAUUAACGAUCCACACCGUUAAAUAUGAUCUAGGGUAUAUGAAAUUCUUAGAAAUAAAAUUUUAGUAUUUUUCGAUAUCGUUUACUUAGUAAAUAAAUUAUGUCAAAAUGAACUGUGAAAAUUGAAUAAUCUUUAAAAUUUGAGCGUAAGACUUUUAAAUUCAAGAUUAAGAAUGUUAACCUUAAUAUAGAUAGUUUAAAGUAUUUUUUAUCAAAAUUUGAAGAAAUUUAGAUUCUUCUACACCAUUAAACUCCAAACUCGCUAUAGUAGUUAUUGAAAAUUGACAAUUUUGAAAUGGUUUGAUAAUAAAGUAAAUUAUGUCGAAAAAAUAUAAAAUUUUAUUUCUAAAAACUUUAAAUACCCUAGAUCAGUUUUAACGGUGUGGAUCGUUGAUUUGAACANNNNNNNNNNNNNNNNNNNNNNNNNAAAGAGCCACCCCCGGUGCCAUAUUAGUUAAAUCUCUAUUUUGAACAUAUUGCGAUAAAUUGGUGUCAAUUUUGUUAAAUUUCUAAAAAUCAUUUUUCAUCAACUUAUAUCUUGAUGUUUUUGAAUCAUUAAAUUAUUUUUUAUAUUGAAAUUUUGAUGUGUCGAUGUGUUUUGAAAUUUUAUAAUAUCUUAUUUUCAUUAU